Molecule: ribosomal RNA, 401 nt
Filed under: uncultured bacterium
Lineage: Bacteria
Description: partial 16S ribosomal RNA
Rfam family: Archaeal small subunit ribosomal RNA
Source: RNAcentral
ACACCGGCAGCCCAAGCGGUGGCCAUUUUUAUUGGGCCUAAAGCGUUCGUAGCCGGCCUGAUAAGUCUCUGGUGAAAUCCCGCAGCUUAAAUGUGGGAAUUGCUGGAGAUACUAUCAGGCUUGAGGUCGGGAGAGGUUAGAGGUACUCCCAGGGGAGGGGGGAAAUCCUAAAAUCCUGGGAGGACCACCUGUGGCGAAGGCGUCUAACUGGAACGAACCUGACGGUGAGUAACGAAAGCCAGGGGCGCGAACCGGAUUAGAUACCCGGGUAGUCCUGGCCGUAAACGAUGUGGACUUGGUGUUGGGAUGGCCUCGAGCUGCCCCAGUGCCGAAGGGAAGCUGUUAAGUCCACCGCCUGGGAAGUACGGUCGCAAGACUGAAACUCAAAUGAAUUGGCGGGG